GUUUUUAUACCCAUUUUGCAGAUGAGAAAAUUGAAGAUCAAGUCACACAACGGUAUCCUCUGACUUUGAAGUCUCCUGCUGGUUUUGUGAUUUGGCCUUUGCACGGUGCCUUGUCCGCUCGAAAGGCUGAGUGAGAGAAGAGGCAUCUUCUGUCUUUCCUCGGGGGUCAGUGCGGAGUGCUACACAUCUUAUCUCUCGUGCCUGGCUUGGUGCUUUAGGGGCUCUAUUUUCUAGGAAGUUUUGAGCCUGAAGCCCAUGAAUCGGUUUACAGAAUGUAAAUAUUUUACAAAACAGAUGAUGACAAAAACAUUUCAAGUUUGUACUAGAGGAAAGGAAUGAAAUUGACCUGGGUUUAGCCAUGAAGAAUGCUUGAGAGCCAGCAUCCGGAGUUUGUCUUCAGUGACCCGAUUUAAAUCACUUCGGAAGAAGAGAAGGAAAGAAGUAAGUCUCUUUUUUCAUUCUGCCUCUUUGUAGAUAAUUACUGA
RNAcentral lists this long non-coding RNA (485 nucleotides) under Mustela putorius furo (domestic ferret). RNAcentral describes it as "lncRNA (ENSMPUG00000029859.1)". Lineage: Eukaryota; Metazoa; Chordata; Mammalia; Carnivora; Mustelidae. The record is from RNAcentral.